CUGAAACUGCUGGAGAAGAUCCCUGAGAAUGCCGAGGCCACGGUGGUCCUCGUGGGCUGCGUGGAGUUCCUCUCCCGCCCCACCAUGGCCUUUGUGCGGCUCCGGGAGGCUGUGGAGUUGGACGCAGUGUUGGAGGUGCCGGUGCCUGUGCGUUUCCUCUUCCUGCUGCUGGGCCCGAGUAGCGCCAACAUGGACUACCACGAGAUCGGCCGCUCCAUCUCCACCCUCAUGUCAGACAAGGUCAGCUACCCUCCUCCUCUGGGCCCUGCUUCCUGGAGCCCAUCCUAGGCCAGUCUUGAUCCCCAUGACUGCCUCCCACCCACUGGCCUUGCCCACCCUCAGCUCCAGGCCCUCAGCCCUCUUCUUUGUGCUCUCCCCCAUCCCCAUCCUGCUUUGGCAGCAAUUCCACGAGGCAGCCUACCUGGCUGACGAGCGGGAGGACCUGCUGACGGCCAUCAACGCCUUCCUGGACUGCAGCGUGGUGCUGCCGCCUUCA
RNAcentral lists this small RNA (496 nucleotides) under Pan troglodytes (chimpanzee). Its description in RNAcentral is "retained intron". Lineage: Eukaryota; Metazoa; Chordata; Mammalia; Primates; Hominidae. The record is from RNAcentral.